This 72-nucleotide transfer RNA is filed under the name Candidatus Woesebacteria bacterium RBG_16_39_8b. Its description in RNAcentral is "tRNA-Lys". It matches the Rfam family "tRNA". Rfam says of the family: Transfer RNA (tRNA) molecules are approximately 80 nucleotides in length. Their secondary structure includes four short double-helical elements and three loops (D, anti-codon, and T loops). The record is from RNAcentral. Lineage: Bacteria; Candidatus Woeseibacteriota.
GGGCCGCUAGCUCAAUGGUAGAGCAACACCCUUUUAAGGUGAUGGUUCCGGGUUCGAGCCCCGGGCGGCGCA